Molecule: ribosomal RNA, 253 nt
Filed under: uncultured bacterium
Lineage: Bacteria
Description: partial 16S ribosomal RNA
Rfam family: Bacterial small subunit ribosomal RNA
Source: RNAcentral
UACAGAGGGUGCGAGCGUUAAUCGGAUUUACUGGGCGUAAAGCGCGCGUAGGUGGUUAAUUAAGUCAAAUGUGAAAUCCCCGAGCUUAACUUGGGAAUUGCAUUCGAUACUGGUUAGCCAGAGUAUGGGAGAGGAUGGUAGAAUUCCAGGUGUAGCGGUGAAAUGCGUAGAGAUCUGGAGGAAUACCGGUGGCGAAGGCAGCCAUCUGGCCUAAUACUGACACUGAGGUGCGAAAGCAUGGGGAGCAAACAGG